RNAcentral lists this ribosomal RNA (1388 nucleotides) under uncultured Pelagibacterales bacterium. RNAcentral's name for it is "bacterial SSU rRNA". It matches the Rfam family "Bacterial small subunit ribosomal RNA". Lineage: Bacteria; Pseudomonadati; Pseudomonadota; Alphaproteobacteria; Candidatus Pelagibacterales. The record is from RNAcentral.
ACGUACGCUGGCGGCACGCCUAACACAUGCAAGUCGAACGAAGUAGCAAUACUUAGUGGCAGACGGGUGAGUAACAUGUAGGUAUCUGCCCUUUGGCCUGGAAUAACACGAGGAAACUUGUGCUAAUACCGGAUAAGUCUUUACGGAGAAAGCUUUAUGCACCAUUGGAUGAGCCUGCACUUGAUUAGUUUGUUGGUGGGGUAAUGGCCUACCAAGACUGUGAUCAAUAGCUGAUUUGAGAGGAUGAUCAGCCACAUUGGGACUGAGACACGGCCCAAACUCCUACGGGAGGCAGCAGUGGGGAAUCUUGCACAAUGGAGGAAACUCUGAUGCAGCGAUGCCGCGUGAGUGAAGAAGGCCCUUGGGUUGUAAAGCUCUUUCGUCGGGGAAGAAAAUGACUGUACCCGAAUAAGAAGGUCCGGCUAACUUCGUGCCAGCAGCCGCGGUAAUACGAAGGGACCUAGCGUAGUUCGGAAUUACUGGGCUUAAAGAGUUCGUAGGUGGUUGAAAAAGUUAGUGGUGAAAUCCCAGAGCUUAACUCUGGAACUGCCAUUAAAACUUUUCAGCUAGAGUAUGAUAGAGGAAAGCAGAAUUUCUAGUGUAGAGGUGAAAUUCGUAGAUAUUAGAAAGAAUACCAAUUGCGAAGGCAGCUUUCUGGAUCAUUACUGACACUGAGGAACGAAAGCAUGGGUAGCGAAGAGGAUUAGAUACCCUCGUAGUCCAUGCCGUAAACGAUGUGUGUUAGACGUUGGAAAUUUAUUUUCAGUGUCGCAGGGAAACCGAUAAACACACCGCCUGGGGAGUACGACCGCAAGGUUAAAACUCAAAUGAAUUGACGGGGACCCGCACAAGUAGUGGAGCAUGUGGUUUAAUUCGAAGAUACGCGCAGAACCUUACCAACACUUGACAUGUUCGUCGCGACUCUAAGAGAUUAGAGUUUUCGGUUCGGCCGGACGAAACACAGGUGCUGCAUGGCUGUCGUCAGCUCGUGUCGUGAGAUGUUGGGUUAAGUCCCGCAACGAGCGCAACCCUCACUUUUAGUUGCCAUCAUUAAGUUGGGCACUCUGAAAGAACUGCCAGUGAUAAGCUGGAGGAAGGUGGGGAUGACGUCAAGUCCUCAUGGCCCUUACGUGUUGGGCUACACACGUGCUACAAUGGUAUCUACAACAGGAAGCAAGACUGCGAAGUUAAGCAAAUCCCUAAAAGAUACCUCAGUUCGGAUUGCACUCUGCAACUCGAGUGCAUGAAGCUGGAAUUACUAGUAAUCGUGGAUCAGCGUGCCACGGUGAAUGCGUUCCCGGGUCUUGUACACACCGCCCGUCACACCAUGGGAGUUGGUUCUACCUUAAGGCAAGGUUUCAAACCCUUGACCACGGUAUAGUCAGCGA